GCUGGGCAUGGUGAUGCAUGCCUGUAGUCCCAGCUACUCGGGAGGCUGAGGCAUAAGAAUUGCUUGAACCCAGGAGGUGGAGACUGCAGUGAGCCGAGAUACCCCACUGUACUCCAGCCUGGGUGACAAAGCAAGACUCUGUCUCAA
This is a non-coding RNA of Gorilla gorilla gorilla (western lowland gorilla), 147 nucleotides long. It matches the Rfam family "Metazoan signal recognition particle RNA". Rfam says of the family: The signal recognition particle (SRP) is a universally conserved ribonucleoprotein. It is involved in the co-translational targeting of proteins to membranes. NCBI's taxonomy places the organism in Eukaryota, Metazoa, Chordata, Mammalia, Primates, Hominidae. The record is from Rfam.